Molecule: transfer RNA, 72 nt
Filed under: Clostridia bacterium
Lineage: Bacteria; Bacillati; Bacillota; Clostridia
Description: tRNA-Gln
Rfam family: tRNA
About the family: Transfer RNA (tRNA) molecules are approximately 80 nucleotides in length. Their secondary structure includes four short double-helical elements and three loops (D, anti-codon, and T loops).
Source: RNAcentral
AGGGCUAUCGCCAAACGGUAAGGCAACGGACUCUGACUCCGUCAUCUAGAGGUUCGAAUCCUCUUAGCCCUG